AUACCGUAUAACACUAUUUUCCGCAUGGAAGAAAGUUGAAAGGCGCUUUUGCGUCACUGAUGGAUGGACCCGCGGUGCAUUAGCUAGUUGGUGAGGUAACGGCUCACCAAGGCCACGAUGCAUAGCCGACCUGAGAGGGUGAUCGGCCACACUGGGACUGAGACACGGCCCAGACUCCUACGGGAGGCAGCAGUAGGGAAUCUUCGGCAAUGGACGAAAGUCUGACCGAGCAACGCCGCGUGAGUGAAGAAGGUUUUCGGGUCGUAAAACUCUGUUGUUAGAGAAGAACAAGGAUGAGAGUAGAACGUUCAUCCCUUGACGGUAUCUAACCAGAAAGCCACGGCUAACUACGUGCCAGCAGCCGCGGUAAUACGUAGGUGGCAAGCGUUGUCCGGAUUUAUUGGGCGUAAAGCGAGCGCAGGCGGUUUCUUAAGUCUGAUGUGAAAGCCCCCGGCUCAACCGGGGAGGGUCAUUGGAAACUGGGAGACUUGAGUGCAGAAGAGGAGAGUGGAAUUCCAUGUGUAGCGGUGAAAUGCGUAGAUAUAUGGAGGAACACCAGUGGCGAAGGCGGCUCUCUGGUCUGUAACUGACGCUGAGGCUCGAAAGCGUGGGGAGCGAACAGGAUUAGAUACCCUGGUAGUCCACGCCGUAAA
This 653-nucleotide ribosomal RNA is filed under the name uncultured bacterium. RNAcentral describes it as "bacterial SSU rRNA". It matches the Rfam family "Bacterial small subunit ribosomal RNA", at positions 166 to 806 of the family's 1533-position model. The record is from RNAcentral.